UUAAUUAAAACCAAAAAGAGGUCUAUCACCGUUAAUGAUAUCAAUGAAUUCGUAAUUCUAAUUAAA
Molecule: transfer RNA, 66 nt
Filed under: Diplectrona hexapetala (nom. nud.)
Lineage: Eukaryota; Metazoa; Arthropoda; Insecta; Trichoptera; Hydropsychidae
Description: tRNA-Asn
Source: RNAcentral